This 471-nucleotide ribosomal RNA is filed under the name uncultured bacterium. RNAcentral describes it as "bacterial SSU rRNA". It matches the Rfam family "Bacterial small subunit ribosomal RNA", at positions 33 to 507 of the family's 1533-position model. The record is from RNAcentral.
GACGACGCUUGCGGCGUGCCUAAGAAAUGCAAGUCGAGCGAGGUUUAGAAGCUUGCUUCGAAAACCUAGCGGCGAACGGUCGCGUAACACGUAAGCAACCUCGCCCCCAAGACCGGGAUAGCCCGCCGAAAGGUGGAUUAAUACCGGAUGUGGACACCAUGUGGCAUCUCUGUGGUGUUUAAAUCAGGCGACUGGCGUUGGGGAUGGGCUUGCGGCCUAUCAGCUAGUUGGUGUGGUAACGGCGCACCAAGGCGACGACGGGUAGCUGGUCUGAGAGGAUGGUCAGCCGGACUGGGACUGAGACACGGCCCAGACUCCUACGGGGGGCAGCAAUUAGGAAUCUUGCGCAAUGGGGGAAACCCUGACGCAGCGACGCCGCGUGAAGGAUGACGGCCUUCGGGUUGUAAACUUCUUUUAAGAGGGAAGAAGAAAGUGACGGUACCUCUUGAAUAAGCCCCGGCUAACUACGUG